This 284-nucleotide long non-coding RNA is filed under the name Oryctolagus cuniculus (rabbit). Its description in RNAcentral is "lncRNA (ENSOCUG00000032520.1)". The record is from RNAcentral. Lineage: Eukaryota; Metazoa; Chordata; Mammalia; Lagomorpha; Leporidae.
UCUGUGUGUCCGUGUCCUUGUCCCCGAGGUCCCCUCUCUUACCGUGUCCUCAUCCCCUGAGGUCCCCUGUGUGACCGUGUCCUCGUCCCCGAGGUCCCCUGUGUGACCGUGUCCUCGUCCCCGAGGUCCCCUCUGUGUCCGUGUCCUUGUCCCCGAGGUCCCCUCUGUGUCCGUGUCCUUGUCCCCGAGGUCCCCUCUGUGUGACCGUGUCCUCUUCCCCGAGGUCCCCUCUGUGUGACCGUGUCCUCUUCCCUGAGGUCCCCUCUGUGUGACCGUGUCCUCUU